GAUCAUGGCUCAGGAUGAACGCUAGCGGCAGGCUUAACACAUGCAAGUCGAGGGGCAGCGGGGUGUAGCAAUACAUCGCCGGCGACCGGCGCACGGGUGCGUAACACGUAUGGAAUCUGCCCUGUACUGGGGGAUAGCCCUCCGAAAGGAGGAUUAAUACCCCAUAACAACUUGAGUGGCAUCACUUGGGUUUGAAAGCUCCGGCGGUACAGGAUGACCAUGCGCCCGAUUAGCUAGUAGGUGAGGUAACGGCUCACCUAGGCUACGAUCGGUAGGGGGCCUGAGAGGGUUAUCCCCCACACUGGAACUGAGACACGGUCCAGACUCCUACGGGAGGCGGCAGUGGGGAAUUUUGGACAAUGGGCGCAAGCCUGAUCCAGCCAUGCCGCGUGAGUGAAGAAGGCCUUCGGGUUGUAAGGCUCUUUCGGCCGGGAAGAAAUCGCACAGGUUAAUACCCUGUGUGGAUGACGGUACCGGAAUAAGAAGCACCGGCUAACUACGUG
This 503-nucleotide ribosomal RNA is filed under the name uncultured bacterium. RNAcentral's name for it is "bacterial SSU rRNA". It matches the Rfam family "Bacterial small subunit ribosomal RNA", at positions 15 to 507 of the family's 1533-position model. The record is from RNAcentral.